Molecule: transfer RNA, 73 nt
Filed under: Dendronephthya gigantea
Lineage: Eukaryota; Metazoa; Cnidaria; Anthozoa; Malacalcyonacea; Nephtheidae
Description: tRNA-Lys
Rfam family: tRNA
About the family: Transfer RNA (tRNA) molecules are approximately 80 nucleotides in length.
Source: RNAcentral
GCCCGGUUAGCUCAGUUGGUAGAGCAUCAGGCCUUUAAUCUGAGGGCCAUGGGUUCGAGUCCUAUAUCGGGCU